This 344-nucleotide unclassified non-coding RNA is filed under the name soil metagenome. RNAcentral describes it as "partial contains 5.8S ribosomal RNA, internal transcribed spacer 2, and large subunit ribosomal RNA". The stretch from base 1 to 120 matches the Rfam family "5.8S ribosomal RNA", at positions 35 to 154 of the family's 154-position model. The record is from RNAcentral.
GAUGAAGAACGCAGCGAAAUGCGAUACGUAAUGUGAAUUGCAGAAUUCAGUGAAUCAUCGAGUCUUUGAACGCACAUUGCGCCCCCUGGUAUUCCGGGGGGCAUGCCUGUCCGAGCGUCAUUGCUGCCCUCAAGCACGGCUUGUGUGUUGGGCCUCCGUCCUCCUCCCGGGGGACGGGCCCGAAAGGCAGCGGCGGCACCGCGUCCGGUCCUCGAGCGUAUGGGGCUUCGUCACCCGCUCUUGUAGGCCCGGCCGGCGCUUGCCGACACAUCAAUCUUUUUUCCAGGUUGACCUCGGAUCAGGUAGGAAUACCCGCUGAACUUAAGCAUAUCAUAAGCGGAGGA